ACGGGAGGCAGCAGUGGGGAAUAUUGGGCAAUGGGCGCAAGCCUGACCCAGCAACGCCGCGUGAAGGAGGAAGGCUUUCGGGUUGUAAACUUCUUUUGUCAGGGAAGAGUAGAAGACUGUACCUGGCGAAUAAGCCACGGCUAACUACGUGCCAGCAGCCGCGGUAAUACGUAGGUGGCAAGCGUUGUCCGGAUUUACUGGGUGUAAAGGGCGUGUAGCCGGGUCGGUAAGUCAGAUGUGAAAUCUACGGGCUCAACUCGUAAACUGCAUUUGAAACUGACGUUCUUGAGUGUUGGAGAGGCUAACGGAACUCCUAGUGUAGCGGUGAAAUGCGUAGAUAUUAGGAAGAACACCAGUGGCGAAGGCGGUUAGCUGGACAAUAACUGACGCUGAGGCGCGAAAGCGUGGGUAGCAAACAGGAUUAGAUACCCUGGUA
This 436-nucleotide ribosomal RNA is filed under the name uncultured Oscillibacter sp. RNAcentral's name for it is "bacterial SSU rRNA". It matches the Rfam family "Bacterial small subunit ribosomal RNA", at positions 341 to 792 of the family's 1533-position model. The record is from RNAcentral. Lineage: Bacteria; Bacillati; Bacillota; Clostridia; Eubacteriales; Oscillospiraceae.